UUACAACUAUCUUAUUAUCUUGAUAAAUUGGUAAUUCUAGUAAUAAUUUUUUUUUUCCAAUAAGUAGAUCUUUAGAGAAUUCCAAUCUGACAAGUAACACAUAAUUAAUAUACGUGUUAUGUUAUAUUUCAAUUUUUCGCGCGAUUUUUGAAUGAAAAAAAUAAGCAUCAUGAGCCAGCCAAUCAGAACGUCGCUUUAUUCAAGUAGUCGCGGGACUCAUUGCGCAUCGUAGUGCGCAUUACACUGCGCAUUACACUGCGCAUUACACUGCGCAUGUCGUCAGUCUACAGUUGAAAAUUGUGUGGAGUGGACGUGUCGUCGCGAAUUGUGAUUAUCGCAGUUUAAUUGGUAGCGUUAUGGUAAUAUUCUCGAAGGCGGGAAAAAUUCCAAUAUGGACGCCAUUGGUGACUUUUUUUCGUGGUAAAAUUUUACAUUUCGUAUGUAUAAAUUUUUAUUCUGUUUUAUUGGAUUAUUAAUGAUUGUUGUUAAGCAAUUCAUAAUAAAAUUACGUUUUAGUUAGAAGAAAGUGAAAAAAUAAAAAGGCAGUAUUUUUAGAACAAAUGCUCGAUAAGAAGGAGAAGAAAAAAGAUCUUAUCAAUAUCAAAAAGAUAUUGCUUCUUCCUCUAUCAUUCCCCGUCCCUCUAUACUAAUUUAAUGUUAAUUUCAGAAAAUAUUAUAUUGUGACCACGCGCAAUGUGGUUAGUAGAAUCAGUGUUUGCUUCGUCAUAGUAUUUUGAAUAUUUUUUAGAGCACAAUAGCUCUGAUUAAAUUUUAAUUAGAAUAAUCAAACGGGAAGAUAGAGUCAGUGUUUGUUCGUCGAUUAUAAUUUAUGCGGACGCGUUAUUAGUUUCUUAUUUUUUAUUUUUUUUCUUUUUAUUUUAAAUAUUCGUUUCCGGUACAGAGUAGAGUCGGUGCUUCUCUCAAGAGAAUACGGCGAUCAUCCAUCACGCGAAGAGAUUUCUUCCAUCCUUCCAUCCAUCCUGAUGACUAUCCAACCUUCUUCUCGAUGACUUCUUGGCUACAAUAACAAUGAAGGCGUUCGCAUCGUAUGGUGAGUCGCAUGCUUUUUGGUUCCUCCGGUCACUCAAUCAUGUCGUAGGAUAAAAGAUCCGAAUCGACACGAGUGAUUGGUUGUAUACGUAGAAUUUUGCACGAGCACAAUGACCGCGGGUAUAUUAUAUUAUUAUAAAUAAAUACCCGCGAGUAGUAACAAUUAUUUCUAUUGUGUUUUAUUUAUUAGUUCAGGCUAGAGUCUUCUUACGCUUCGCGUUUUUGAUUAAUAUAAAAUGUUUGGUAAUUUUCUGAACAUAACUGGCAUAAAACGUAUAAUAAUUAUUAUUAUAUAAUUAUCAGUGUAAUACAUGUUACUGUUAAUUUGAAUUUCUAUAAUUCAAAAUUCUUCAGAGUAACAUUUUAAGUUAUUUGGUCAAUUUGAUUAUUGUGUUUGUCAUAUAAUAAUUUCAUAUAACUUCAGUAUGAUUUACAACACUGGUAGAUAGUAAAGUUCAAUUUUUACUCGUACAAAUGUGAAUUAAAUUUUGCGCAAGGAGACAUUUCGCGACAGGCAGAUUUUAGAAUCAGAGCAAUAAGUUUUGAAUAUCAUUCUUCUUGGUUUUGAAAAUAUGCUCUGAUGAAGGAAUCGUCUGAGGGUAUUUCUAUUAAUAUUUUAUAUUAAAUUACAAUGAAUUCUAAAUUCCUUUUUCAAUUCAAUAUUAAAAAUUUAAUAUGCUAAAAAUUCAAGAACUUGUUUAAUUAAUGAUACGAAAUAUAAAAUAGAGUCACACAAAAUUUGAAACAUGAUAAUAAAAAUUUGAAAUAUAUAAUAUAAUUUAUAUAAUUGUAUAAUUUGAAAUAUAUAAUACAAAGUCAAAGAAUAUUAGCCCGUUAGAUACAAAAUGAAUAUAUUAAUAUCUUUUUAGCUCAGGAUUUUCAGGUUUAACCCUUUCCAUGUUCAUUGCCAGGAAUUCACUCACGUGCCCAGGUGUUACUUGAGUGAAGGAGAGGCAAUGGGUAUGAUGACCUAGUUCAUAAGUUAAUACAAAUUUUUUAGCGACUGACGAUGCGUUAGUGUAUCGUGCACGACGUACUUUCCACAUUGUGUGUGUGUGUGUGGUUAGGCUGUGGAAUUGCGUCGUUUCAAUUAUUAUUUCUUUCACUAUUCAAUCGCAAUUUACAAUCAUACUCGUAAUAAAAUAUUGCGAAUAAGUAAUAAAUAGUAAGAUUACUAAUCUUUAGUAUCAAAUUACAAUAUCAUAAUUGUACAAUUUUGGUUGAGAAUAAUGGUUAUAAUAAUGGUACCGUUUAGUCUGGUGACUAGUAUUUUGGAAAACGUUACGUAUUCAUAAAUAUUCACAAUUAAAAUGUAAAUACACGUGUUUUGUCGCGUUUCACGCAAUGGUCGCUAGCCAUCGUCAGUCGAUUUCAGGAAAAGGUACGUAAAGUUAGAGUGUGCGAGUAGUGUGCCAAGCUCGGGUGUCGGAGGCGUCCCGGGACGCUUUCCCUAGUGUAGGCUUUUGCGCCCGGGUGUUAUGUGUGAGAAUCGUGGAAUGAGUGUGUUGGUAUGCCUGUUUUGCCAUAUUUUUUAAAUAUAGGGCUAGGUAGGAUAGGUAGUAUACUUCUGGUGUGUCUGUUUAAUUAUAAGUAGGUAGGGCCGGGCAGGUUGUCACAGUCUCUGAUCGGGUAGGCGCGUUUUCGCGUGACAACUUGUUUCAGGGAAUAAAAUUUGAGAAAUCGAGGGCGAAACUGAGACGAAUGGAUGACAAUGCCAUUCGUCUCUGGUUUUGCUCAUCGAGUUUUCGAAUUUCGCGGUCGCGGUCGUGAUUUGCUUUCGAAACGAACGUUGCGCUCGAGAUUCUGUGCAUGUACGGAGAACGAUCAUUGCAAUUGUUGGUCGUCCAUGUGCAUUUAGCUUCCGCGAUUUAGUCCUUUUUUUUCUU
Molecule: long non-coding RNA, 2936 nt
Organism: Apis cerana (Asiatic honeybee)
Lineage: Eukaryota; Metazoa; Arthropoda; Insecta; Hymenoptera; Apidae
Source: RefSeq, a predicted model, not a curated record